This is a long non-coding RNA of Sycon ciliatum, 2210 nucleotides long. RefSeq lists it as uncharacterized. Lineage: Eukaryota; Metazoa; Porifera; Calcarea; Leucosolenida; Sycettidae. The record is from RefSeq and is a predicted model, not a curated record. The transcript has 5 exons.
UGUGCCUCCUGCCUUCGACCAGACUAUGUCAUCUUGAGUAUUUACACUGCAAGAGUUUCCUCGGCGAAGCAAGCUAGAAUUUAUUUGCACAAUCUUACUAUUUGCCUCUAAGUAACUAGAACAUAGUGGUCAGAACAGGCCGGUUAUUGGCAAGCGUGGCGGAUAGUCCGUAAGUAGCGUACUUAUGAAGGGAUGCAGCAGUUCGCUAUUUCUACCUUCAAAUGCUACAUCUGUGGAAGAGGAUAAUGUUUCUAGCGCGCUCACGGACGUAUUCAGCCAUGGACUUGGGAGGAAGCUAUACAACAAGAUCAGGGUGGCGAUGGUCAGUUCUUGAGCUUCGAACGGGCAGAAAGCUAUACGACAAGAUCAGGGUGGUGAUGGUCAGUUCUUGAGUUUCGAACGGGCAGAAAGCUAUACAACGGGGUGAGGAUAGUCCUUGUCAGUUUCUGAGCUGCGACCCGGCAGAAAGCUAUACAACGAGAUGAGGCGGGUCAUUGUCUGUUUCUGAGCUGCAUACCAUUACACUCAAGUGAGAAGAUAUAUGAAGAUAUGCAAAUGAUAUACAUGUACUGCUAGUAGUCAUGACCUUGCCACUCUCCGUGACAUCACAAGAUAUCCCGGGAAGUGAUAGUGAUGUCAUGGAUGUGUGUAUAGUAUUGUAUACAACACAAUCCCAUAUCAUGGUGAAUGAUCUCAGUGUGUGGUAUCCGCACAUGCUGGUCAGGAACUGAGAAUAUAGUAUGUCAGUAUUGAUGCAAUGCAAUUGGAACUUGACUUGAUAUUGCAUGCGAGUUAUCUUCAAUUCUACUCUUGAUAUCCAGCACAGUGUUAAGAAAAAUGAACGUGUUUGUCCCAUGCAGGGAGUAACACAAUCGUUCACUAUUUUCUGUCUUGAUAACAAUUAAAAUAUCCAUCAUUCUUAGAUUCAAGCCUGGCUAUUUAUGAGAACACAGUUUGUCCCGACUGAGUACAGUGCGGAUCGGCUAUAGGGUUGUCGGCUAUAGUAAUAUACCUCUUAUAGUGAUCGUAUUCUCAAAUUCAUUUUCGUAAACCACCCCUUAAUAUACAUAUCGGAUCGGCUAUAGUAAUAAUCGGCUAUAGUAAUAUAUCGGCUAUAAUGAUACGAUUUCUUUGUCAAAAUGAUCUUAUUGCAUAUAUUUUUCAUCGGCUAUAGUGAUGAUCAUAAAAAAAUUAUACAUGGCGAGAUCUGAUCGCGGCAGCCAGGAAGCGCUGGUACGACUAUGAUAUCCCUCGGAGGAAAUGCGAAAUGGUUGGCGUUGGCUGUGCUUGUUGUUCUUCCGGGGCAUCCUCGAGCGAGAUCGGUGGCAGUAAUGAGUACCAGCGCUGAAGCCCUACCGUGGUCGACGCCGAGAUGUUGGAGAAGGCAUUCAGGUAACAGCGAAGACGAUCAGGGACGCGGGGAAGCUUCUCCGUGACAUACGACAUCACGCGUCGAUCGACCUGCCACUUGAAACGAUUUCAGCGGCGAUGAGUCGAGCGAUGGCGACCCAAACUGAGAUUCUACUCCCACUAAUUGAUCCUGUAGAUAUUCUUGAUAAUAUCAACAAUAUCUACAGGAUCAAUUAGUGGGAUUGAAUGUGUUGAAUUAAGUGAUUCUCUUCCAAAGGAACACAUAAUUAUUUGUUGAGCACAGCAACUCCUUGAACACUUAUGUCAAAAAGUCACGAAGUUUUUCUUUCCGCAGGAAGUAGCUCUGCACUGCGCGCAUUGCACAGUCACAUGCACAGCACGCUUCUGCACGCUGCACUGAUACGAAUGACACCAUACACGCAUUUGUCAGGCAUACCUAAGUAUGCAUAUCGCCUAUAGUAAUAUAUCGCCUAUAGUGAUAUUUUCACGAAAAUCAAACACCAACGCUAUAGCCGAUCUGUACUGUACAUGUAUCAUAUCCGUGCUAUUUUUUUCACCUUCUCCUUUUCAUUCCCUUAAUUAAAUACAUGUAGGUCGAUAUUAGAUGAGGUAUUCAGCAUGCUGCCAGUUUGGAGAGAAAUUCAGUACUACAUUAAUCUAACUAAGUCUUAAUAUCUCACACACUCACAUUUGGCAUUUGCUUGGACUUCCGUACACUGUUCAUUCGUAUUAUCAUUAUUGUUUGCAUCCUCAUAUUGAUGCUGGAUGCUAAGUCCUGAGCUCCGCUUUUGCUGCAUGGCUUUGACGAGAGGAGCCAUAGGAGUAAACUCAUCCACAUA